RNAcentral lists this ribosomal RNA (474 nucleotides) under uncultured bacterium. RNAcentral's name for it is "partial 16S ribosomal RNA". It matches the Rfam family "Bacterial small subunit ribosomal RNA", at positions 35 to 539 of the family's 1533-position model. The record is from RNAcentral.
AACGAACGCUGGCGGCAUGCCUAACACAUGCAAGUCGAACGAGACCUUCGGGUCUAGUGGCGCACGGGUGCGUAACGCGUGGGAACCUGCCCUUAGGUUCGGAAUAACUCCCCGAAAGGGGUGCUAAUACCGGAUAAUGUCUUCGGACCAAAGAUUUAUCGCCUUUGGAUGGGCCCGCGUUGGAUUAGCUAGUUGGUAGGGUAAAAGCCUACCAAGGCGACGAUCCAUAGCUGGUCUGAGAGGAUGAUCAGCCACACUGGGACUGAGACACGGCCCAGACUACGGGGGGGGGCGGCAGGGGGGAGAAUCGCGCAGUGGGAGAAACCCUGAUCCAGGACUGUGGCGUGGGUGAUGGAGCGCUUUGGGGGAUAAUUCUUUUUUACGUGGUAUGAUAAUGACAGCGGCGGGAGCAUAACCUCCGACCCACCCCGCGCCAGCGGCCGCGGUAAUCGGGGGAGGAGCACACGUCUCAGC